CGGAAGAUCCAAGCGUUAUCCGGAAUUACUGGGCGUAAAGAGUUGCGUAGGUGGCAUGUAAAGCGAAUAGUGAAAGGUCCCGGCUCAACCGGGGAUACAUUAUUCGAACUCACAAGCUAGAGCACAGCAGAGGUACCUGGAAUUCCCAGUGUAGGAGUGAAAUCCGUAGAUAUUGGGAGGAACACCGAUGGCGUAGGCAGGGUACUGGGCUGUUGCUGACACUAAGGCACGAAAGCGUGGGGAGCGAACGGGAUUAGAUACCCCGGUAGUCCACGCCGUAAACUAUGGAUGCUAGCUGUUAUCAGUAUCGACCCUGGUAGUAGCGAAGCUAACGCGUUAAGCAUCCCGCCUGUGGAGUACGAGCGCAAGCUUA
This 373-nucleotide ribosomal RNA is filed under the name uncultured organism. RNAcentral describes it as "bacterial SSU rRNA". It matches the Rfam family "Bacterial small subunit ribosomal RNA", at positions 526 to 896 of the family's 1533-position model. The record is from RNAcentral.